Molecule: microRNA, 22 nt
Filed under: Capitella teleta
Lineage: Eukaryota; Metazoa; Annelida; Polychaeta; Capitellidae
Description: cte-miR-92c
Gene: cte-miR-92c
Source: miRBase by way of RNAcentral
AUUGCACUUGUCCCGGCCUGCU